UACGGAGGGUGCAAGCGUUGUCCGGAUUUAUUGGGUUUAAAGGGUGCGUAGGCGGCCUAAUAAGUCAGUGGUGAAAUCUCCGGGCUUAACCCGGAAACUGCCAUUGAUACUAUUGGUCUUGAAUACUUUGGAGGUAAGCGGAAUAUGUCAUGUAGCGGUGAAAUGCUUAGAUAUGACAUAGAACACCAAUUGCGAAGGCAGCCUCCUGGGCCAACACUGACGCUCAUGCACGAAAGCGUGGGGAGCAAACAGG
RNAcentral lists this ribosomal RNA (253 nucleotides) under uncultured bacterium. RNAcentral's name for it is "partial 16S ribosomal RNA". It matches the Rfam family "Bacterial small subunit ribosomal RNA", at positions 524 to 776 of the family's 1533-position model. The record is from RNAcentral.